RNAcentral lists this ribosomal RNA (292 nucleotides) under uncultured prokaryote. Its description in RNAcentral is "partial 16S ribosomal RNA". It matches the Rfam family "Bacterial small subunit ribosomal RNA", at positions 505 to 796 of the family's 1533-position model. The record is from RNAcentral.
GUGCCAGCCGCCGCGGUAAUACGUAGGGUGCAAGCGUUAAUCGGAAUUACUGGGCGUAAAGCGUGCGCAGGCGGUUUUGUAAGUCAGGUGUGAAAUCCCCGAGCUCAACUUGGGAAUUGCACUUGAGACUGCAAGACUAGAGUAUGUCAGAGGGGGGUGGAAUUCCAAGUGUAGCAGUGAAAUGCGUAGAUAUUUGGAAGAACACCGAUGGCGAAGGCAGCCCCCUGGGAUAAUACUGACGCUCAUGCACGAAAGCGUGGGGAGCAAACAGGAUUAGAUACCCCCGUAGUCC